Molecule: ribosomal RNA, 433 nt
Filed under: uncultured bacterium
Lineage: Bacteria
Description: partial 16S ribosomal RNA
Rfam family: Bacterial small subunit ribosomal RNA
Source: RNAcentral
AAUGAACGCUGGCGGCAGGCCUAACACAUGCAAGUCGAGCGAGGACUUCGGUCCUAGCGGCGGACGGGUGAGUAACGCGUGGGAACGUGCCCUUUGCUUCGGAAUAGCCCUGGGAAACUGGGAGUAAUACCGGAUGAGCCCUUUGGGGGAAAGAUUUAUCGGCGAAGGAUCGGCCCGCGUUGGAUUAGGUCGUUGGUGGGGUAAUGGCCUACCAAGCCGACGAUCCAUAGCUGGUUUGAGAGGAUGGUCAGCCACACUUGGACUGAGACACGGCCCAGAAUCCUACGGGAGGCAGGAGUGGGGAAUCGAAGACAAUGGGGGAAGCCCUGAUCUAGCCAUGCCGCGUGAGCGAUGAAGGCCUUAGGGUUGUAAAGCUCUUUCAGCUGGGAAGAUAAUGACGGUACCAGCAGAAGAAGCCCCGGCUAACUCCGUG